GGACUUUCUAAGAGUUGUAUGUUUUAAAAGCUACACAUAGCUUUGAUACGCCAUAGGAAGAAAUUAGUGACAAGUAGAAGGCGUGUGUGAAUAUUUGUUUUGAGGCAAAUGUUUGUUUGAAACUUUGAAUGACUAUUAUGACUGUAAUUGAGGAGAAUUCCACCGCCACAUCAUUUUAACUCUGCCUUUCUUUAUACAGGAAUUCUGUUUAAUGGUUGCUGAACUGCCAUUAUUAAUAAUACUUGGAGAAAUGCCCUAAAAAAUUUUAACAUUCUUUGAUCAUUCUCUU
RNAcentral lists this unclassified non-coding RNA (289 nucleotides) under Hevea brasiliensis (rubber tree). Lineage: Eukaryota; Viridiplantae; Streptophyta; Magnoliopsida; Malpighiales; Euphorbiaceae. The record is from RNAcentral.